CAACAAUGCCUUCCCAACAUUUCCUCACUUUCUUCUUCUUCCUUCUCAUAUCUUGCAACACCAUCACUUCAUCAUCACCACCAUCAUCACAAAAAGAUGACACUUUUGAAUUUGUUCGUCCUAUGGACAAAAAAUUAUUAGGCAUAAACAAGAAGGAAAAACUAAGUCAUUUCAAAUUCUACUGGCAUGACAUAGGGAGUGGAAAAAACCAAUCAUCGGUUAUGGUUGUUCCACCAUCAUUGAAACUAAACUCAACAACUGGUUUUGGUUUGGUCAACAUGAUUGACAACCCUUUAACUUUAGGACCAAAGUUGAGCUCUAAACUUGUUGGAAAAUCUCAAGGGUUCUAUGCAUCAGCUUGUAAAGAUGAACUUGAUUUGCUUAUGGCUAUGAAUUUGGCUUUCAUUGAAGGAAAGUAUAAUGGAAGUAGUAUUACUAUUUUGGGACGGAAUCCGGUCUUUCAUAAGGUUAGAGAGAUGCCUGUUAUUGGUGGUAGUGGACUUUUCAGAUUUGCUAGAGGUUAUGCUCAAGCUAGUACUUAUUCCUUUGAUCUCAAAUCUGGAGAUGCUGUUGUUGAGUAUAAUGUUUAUGUUUUUCACUAUUGAUUGUUAGUAGUAAUUGUUCUUGUUGUUAUUAUUUUAGGAUUGUGUUUGUGUGAGCUUUUACGUACGUCUAUGGUUGUUUUGUGUUAGAUUUGGAUUUACUGUGGUUAUUAAACUAAUAAAUUUGUAGUUGUUGUACUCAAUUGAUUUAAAUGUAUCUUUGAAUUCACAGUGAGUUUAGCAGAAUCACUCUGUGAUUUUACAUAAGUUACAUUUUCGAGCUUUAACAAAAUCACUACAUCAUCGUAGUUUCAACAAACCAAUUGUGAUAUGAAACUCGUUGGAUAGAGAUCAGAUGACUCAAAUUGUAGAUCGAUAUAUCAGAAACCAAUAAUUCCAAUUGUUCAAUAUUAGAAGCAAGGGAAGGCUUUGAAGUUAAUUCUGUAGCACUGACACCUCUGAUCCAAAAUGUAUUUAGUGUAUGACACAUGUCAAUAUCAAACAUUGACAUGACACCGACAUGUGAUGAUUUUCAAUUAUUACAUGUGUUGGCUCUUCUAUAAUCACACCUGCUAAAUUAUGCAGGUCCACUAUAAGCUCCAAGUGAAGUGAUCUAUUUUCUUUUUAGUUUGGGAUGGACUUUAGAUUGGUGAAUUUUUUUGAGGUGUGCACAUCAUGUUCAUCUCAUACUUUCUUUUGGUGUAUUAAGGUGUGCAGAGCAGCAACAUGUUCAAAAAUGUUCCAAGCUUUGUCUGCAAUGUGCAGGACCAUACAAAUAAAACCAGGCAAAACCAUCAUUGUUUCUUUACUUUGAAGCCAGCACAGCACCUCAAACAUGUAUCAGUGUAUUUUUAUCUAAGAGGUGAAAAGUUUAGGAAAAGUAAUCCUUAUAAGUUAUACUCCCUCUGACUCUUAUUCUAAGCAAACUUUUUUUUUUUUCAACUCUGAUUCGGGAUCAGUUCUGGCAUCAAGUGGUUCUAAUCUCCUCCUGAUUGCAGUUGCGGGGAUAAGCAUACUUUUCCAAAUGUUAAGAAAAUUGUUAGUGAAUUUAAUGUGUCUAUUAUUGAUCUUUUAAAAAUACUUUUUUAUAAUAAUAUGUGUAACUUUUAACUUUUUAUAUUUUAAGAUAAAUUAGUAGUAUUAAUAAAGCUAUGUUUAAAUUAUCAACAACGAAAAAAAAAAAAACUAUGUUUAAAAAAACCUAAUAUUUGUUUUAAACAAACAGAUAGUGCAAAAGCAUCCCAUGAGAAAUCAUAAACUAAGUUGGCACUCAGCACCCUUUGACCGCCACCUAUCAUUUGUACGCAACAAAUAUUAUUAAAAAUAUAAAACGGAUACAAAAAUAUUUGGUGCAAGACUAGACCAAAAAUUAAGAUAGAAUAAUAAAGAGAACUCAAUAUCCGGCUCAUUGAAAAUUCACCUCUUUAAAUAAAUAAGUGAAAGAUCUCGGGUUCAAACUUCGGCCCUAUAUAUUAAAAUGUGAUAUUAUAUGAUAUAGAGAUUUAUAUUUAGAAAAGAAAAAAAAAUUAUUCAAAGGUAAUUUGUUAAUGAGUUUCAACACCACAAAUAUCACAUGGUAUAAAACUCAUUUCUUUGUUCACUUUCCUCUUUCUACCAUCAUUGUCUUGCUAUAUAUUAUAUGUUCUCCUUCACUACUUUACUUUCUCCACAGUUAGCAUCACAAUAAUGCCUUCCCAAAAUUUCCUAUCUUUGUUCUUCUACCUUCUCCUCUCUUGCAACACUAUCACUUCAACCUCAUCACCAUCAUCACAAAAAGAAGACACUUUUGAUUUUGUUCGUUCAAUAAACCCAAAAUUGUUAGGCCUAAACAAGAAAGAAAAGCUAAGUCAUUUCAGAUUCUAUUGGCAUGACAUCUUGAGUGGAAAAAAUCCAACUUCAAUUAUAAUUGUUCCACCAACAUUGAUUCUAAACACAACCACUUAUUUUGGUUCAGUCAACAUGUUUGAUGACCCUUUGACUUUAGGACCACAAUUAAGUUCCAAACUUGUUGGAAAAGCUCAAGGUUUUUAUGCUUCUGCAUCACAAGAUGAUUUUGGUUUUCUUAUGGCUAUGAAUUUGGCUUUCAUUGAAGGGAAGUAUAAUGGAAGUAGUAUUACUAUUUUGGGGAGGAACUCUGGUAUUAAUAAGGUUAGGGAGAUGCCUGUUGUUGGGGGUAGUGGUCUAUUCAGAUUUGCUAGAGGGUAUGCUCAAGCUAAUACUUAUAAGUAUGAUGUCAAAUCUGGAGAUGCUAUUGUGGAGUACAAUGUUUAUGUUUUUCACUAUUAGUAUUGAUGAUUGUAAAUUAUUGUUGUUGUUUUUAGGAUUUGUGUUUGUGUUGUUGUUGGUUUUUCAUACGUACUGGUCAGAAAUCGAACUCAUAACUAAAUGAUUUAGAAGUUUAAGUAUUUACCACUUGUGUCACGCUAUGUUGGAUUGCGGGUUCUUACUAUGGCUAUAUGUGACUUUGGUUUUAUAAAUUUGUUGUUAUUUGUAGUCAUUCAAAUUAAGUUAUAAAUUUGUAGUCAAAAUGCUAAUACUAUGGCUAUAUGUUACUUUGAAAAUAAUAAUUUGUUGUUAUUUUAUAUUUAUUGUGAGUUGAGAUUAUUGACUAUAGUGAAGAUGAUAUCAUAUUGCUUAAAAUCCAUUUCUUUCUUGUUUUUGAGUCUUGUGUGCGUAUGGGUUUGUGAAGCUUGGCUUUUCUUUUCUAGGAACCCAUGUCUGUCCCCUCUUGAUUUUGAUUUCAUAAUCAUUCAAGUCAUAUAUGUUCAUUUUUUAAGGUAAUCUCUCCGUUUCAAAUUAUAAGUAAAAAUGAAUUGGAGAAAAUCAAUAUGUUUGGUUUUUAAUUUGAAUUAAAUACAUUAAUUUUUUUUUACGAACUUUUUACUUAUAAUUUAAAAUCGAAGUAUUAGCAUUUUGACUAACUUGGUUCCUAUAUUUCCAUUGUGGUAAGUAUAUUCCGUCAUGGAUAUAUAAUAAUCCAAACACAUCAAUUUAGUUUCUUUGGGACUAUAGCUGUGAGAAUUUCUUGGUAAACAUCUUACUAUUAGAUGAAAUGGGGGUCAAGACUAGUAAUCAUGUAAACAAUGCUAGUUAUCCAACCUUUUUAUAACUGGGCUAGCAUGACUAAACUCAGCCAAAUUUGACUUUCUAUUCACACCCCAUCUUUUUUUAUAUAAUUAAUUUAACUUUCUAUUUCAAAUUAAAAUUACUCUAUUCAAUGUUUUAAAUGACAUCUGAUAGUCCACAUGGUUUCACAAAAUAUAAGAUAAUUGACGGCAUAUUUUUAUUAUAAUUUAAAUGUGCCGCCAAUUAUCUACAAUAUAUCUUUAUUAUUACAAAUCUAGUAGUAGUAGUUUGAUAGUGGUGUGAAUGCGAAAACAUUUUGUGGAAUUUCAAAUUCAAAAUCGGAUCAUCACACUUCUCUUUGCUUAUGUGGUUAUCUGAAAUUAAAUUUAUAAUUUCACAUAAAAUGUUUCACAAUCAAACCACUACAUUAUAAUAGUAAAGAUAUAAUGUGAAUAAUCAACUACGUACCAUUUAAAAAGUUGCGCAAGUGUUGUAUAAAUUAGGUACAAAACUCAUUUAAUUUCUUUUGUCCUUUUUAUUCUCUCUCUUUUAUUUGUUGUCCUAUAAACAAAGCCUUAACCUACACUUCAUUUCAUUAGUUCAUUUCUUCUUCCAUUAUUCUCUUCUCUACAUACUUUACUUUCUCUAGAGUUAGCAUCAGAAUUUCACCAACUCCACCACAAUGCCUAUCCAAAAUUUCCUCACUUUGUUCUUCUUCCUUCUCCUCUCUUGCAACACUCUCACUUCAUCUUCAUCACCAACAUCACAAAAAGAGGACACGUUUGAAUUUGUUCGUCCAAUAGACCCCAAAUUUUUAGGCCUAGAACACAAAGAAAAACUAAGUCAUUUUAGAGUCUAUUAGCAUGACACCUUAAGUGGAAAAAACCCG
RNAcentral lists this long non-coding RNA (4497 nucleotides) under Trifolium pratense (red clover). Its description in RNAcentral is "long non-coding RNA (TPRA_LNC002356)". The record is from RNAcentral. Lineage: Eukaryota; Viridiplantae; Streptophyta; Magnoliopsida; Fabales; Fabaceae.